RNAcentral lists this ribosomal RNA (305 nucleotides) under uncultured bacterium. RNAcentral describes it as "bacterial SSU rRNA". It matches the Rfam family "Bacterial small subunit ribosomal RNA", at positions 337 to 653 of the family's 1533-position model. The record is from RNAcentral.
GCCUACGGGGGGCAGCAGUCGAGAAUCAUUCACAAUGGGGGAAACCCUGAUGGUGCGACGCCGCGUGGGGGAAUGAAGGUCUUCGGAUUGUAAACCCCUGUCAUGUGGGAGCAAAUUAAAAAGAUAGUACCACAAGAGGAAGAGACGGCUAACUCUGUGCCAGCAGCCGCGGUAAUACAGAGGUCUCAAGCGUUGUUCGGAAUCACUGGGCGUAAAGCGUGCGUAGGCUGUGUCGUAAGUCGUGUGUGAAAGGCGCGGGCGCAACCCGCGGACGGCACAUGAGACUGCGAGACUAGAGUAAUGGG